AUUUUCAGCAAUCAGGCGCCCACCUGGAGAGCAAGAGAAUACAAUUCAAGUUUCAGAAAUCAGGCGCCCACUUGGAGAGCAAGGGAGUACAUUCAAGUUAUGGCAAUCAGGCGCCCACCUGGAGAGCAAGGGAAUACAAUUCAAGUUUUGGCAAUCAGGCGUCCACCUGGAGAACAAGGAGUAACAGUUCAAGUUAGCAGUCAGGAGCCCGCCUGGAGAGCAGGGAAUACAUUCAAGUUCAGCAGUCAAGAGCCCGCCUGGAGAACAAGGGAGUACAAUUCAAGUUUUAGUUUUCAAGUUCUUAUUGAUAUUUGGUAAUGUGAUUCGUUUUACACUUACAUAUGUUC
RNAcentral lists this long non-coding RNA (347 nucleotides) under Nicotiana tabacum (common tobacco). Its description in RNAcentral is "long non-coding RNA (NTAB_LNC005510)". Lineage: Eukaryota; Viridiplantae; Streptophyta; Magnoliopsida; Solanales; Solanaceae. The record is from RNAcentral.